CUUACUUGAAUUAAAAUGCUGAAAGCUAUCAGAUUAAAUAUAAUAUGUAUGGUUUAUCAGCCACUCAGCAACUAUAAGAUAACUCAAGUAAGACUUUCCCCUCCGCACAGAGGUGGCAGUCUAUAAUUUGAUCAAACUCAAUUGGAGUGAGCCCGGGGGAGGCCUCUCCUUGGCACUGACAUGACUGGUGGCAUUCGUGGC
RNAcentral lists this long non-coding RNA (201 nucleotides) under Drosophila guanche. Lineage: Eukaryota; Metazoa; Arthropoda; Insecta; Diptera; Drosophilidae. The record is from RNAcentral.